Molecule: ribosomal RNA, 497 nt
Filed under: uncultured bacterium
Lineage: Bacteria
Description: partial 16S ribosomal RNA
Rfam family: Bacterial small subunit ribosomal RNA
Source: RNAcentral
GAUGAACGCUGGCGGCGUGCCUAAUACAUGCAAGUCGAGCGGCCGGACGAGAAGCUUGCUUCUCUGAUGUUAGCGGCGGACGGGUGAGUAACACGUGGAUAACCUACCUAUAAGACUGGGAUAACUUCGGGAAACCGGAGCUAAUACCGGAUGAUAUUUUGAACCGCAUGGUUCAAAAGUGAAAGACGGUCUUGCUGUCACUUAUAGAUGGAUCCGCGCUGCAUUAGCUAGUUGGUAAGGUAACGGCUUACCAAGGCAACGAUGCAUAGCCGACCUGAGAGGGUGAUCGGCCACACUGGAACUGAGACACGGUCCAGACUCCUACGGGAGGCAGCAGUAGGGAAUCUUCCGCAAUGGGCGAAAGCCUGACGGAGCAACGCCGCGUGAGUGAUGAAGGUCUUCGGAUCGUAAAACUCUGUUAUUAGGGAAGAACAUAUGUGUAAGUAACUGUGCACAUCUUGACGGUACCUAAUCAGAAAGCCACGGCUAACUACGUG